UGGGGAAUUUUGGACAAUGGGCGCAAGCCUGAUCCAGCAAUGCCGCGUGCAGGAUGAAGGCCUUCGGGUUGUAAACUGCUUUUGUACGGAACGAAAAAGCUCUCUCUAAUACAGGGGGUGAAUGACGGUACCGUAAGAAUAAGCACCGGCUAACUACGUGCCAGCAGCCGCGGUAAUACGUAGGGUGCAAGCGUUAAUCGGAAUUACUGGGCGUAAAGCGUGCGCAGGCGGUUUUGUAAGACAGAGGUGAAAUCCCCGGGCUCAACCUGGGAACUGCCUUUGUGACUGCAAAGCUGGAGUGCGGCAGAGGGGGGUGGAAUUCCACGUGUAGCAGUGAAAUGCGUAGAGAUGUGGAGGAACACCGAUGGCGAAGGCAGCCCCCUGGGCCUGUACUGACGCUCAUGCACGAAAGCGUGGGGAGCAAACA
This 427-nucleotide ribosomal RNA is filed under the name uncultured bacterium. RNAcentral describes it as "bacterial SSU rRNA". It matches the Rfam family "Bacterial small subunit ribosomal RNA", at positions 355 to 774 of the family's 1533-position model. The record is from RNAcentral.